UGCCCUGCAAAGGUUUAUCUCACCCCCUUCCCACUUCCCAGCUGCCAUGAGCUGACAGCUUUCCUCUGCCAUGCCUUCUGCCAGGAUGUUUCUGCAAUGGAGUUGGCAGACCAUUAGCUGAGACCUCUGGAACUAUUUCCAGAGAUAAGUGCAUGUUAUUUCUUAGGAGGCGAAAUGUUUCUUACAGAAUCAAGUAAGAACAAACAAGAAGUGUCUUGCAAUUAGAACUGGGCCUUGGAAGUGCUGAAUAGAAGAUCUGAGAUUGUUUCUUCUGGAAAAGAUAAAUAAGGUGGACAGUCUUCCUCUGCCACCCACUUCCACCACCAUGAUGUGCUGUACCACCACAGGUCCAAAGAAAUUGGACCAAGUGACCGUGUAUGGACUGAAACCUGUGAGCCAAAACAAGUCUUUCAUCAUCAUCAGUUUAUCUCAGGCCUCUGCAUCCCUGGAACUUGCUAAUGCUUCUCCAUAGACUGAAGAAUGAAGAACAGGCUGUGUUGACUAGCCCCCGAAGAGAGGAACAAAUAAAUUAAUCCUUCUUUUCAUUAAAAAGCUAAAUUGCAUGUG
This is a long non-coding RNA of Marmota monax (woodchuck), 567 nucleotides long. RefSeq lists it as uncharacterized. The record is from RefSeq and is a predicted model, not a curated record. NCBI's taxonomy places the organism in Eukaryota, Metazoa, Chordata, Mammalia, Rodentia, Sciuridae. The transcript has 5 exons.